UACAAGCUCUCCUCCCUCAUUUCCUCUAGUCAUGACUUUAGUUUUCCGAUCCCCCUCCUCCUCUGAACUCCCUAGAGACGCGAACCUCCUCAGAGAUAAAAAUGAGUGCACUGAUGUGCUCGCGUGCACACCCCAUUCGAGCACAGGCACGCACCGCUAUGGCCGUGGGUUUCACCAAAAGCGCUUCCAGCACACGCGAGUGUUGGUCCAAAGCCCUCCCGCGAGAGCGGCACCCCCACGACCUUCCUAGGAAACCCGGUCCGACAAUCCUUCGGAACACUCCGUCAUCCUUCAAAUACCCUCAUGUGUCCAUAAUUGGCUUUCAGUUCUCGGUAGUAUAGUGGUUAGUAUACCCGCCUGUCACGCGGGUGACCCGGGUUCAAUUCCCGGCCGGGAAGCUUUUCGGGUGUGACGUUAUGAGGAGGAAAAUUCCGAUGCCGGGGAUCGAACCCGGGUCUAGCGGGUGAGAGCCGCUUGUUCUAUCCACUAUACCACAUCGGAUUCGAAGUCCCGUGGGCACUUGAUGGUGUUCCCUAGUGAAGCUCUCCUCCUAGUCACCGUGACCCGAGGGUGCUGUGAGCACGACCAUGCCAAGGAGAAAACACCACAUCCCGCCCGAUUUGCGAAAAGCACUCACAGGCUUAGUGCUGAUGUCGGUGUUGGCUCGGGAACCUUACGUGUCGUGCUCUUUUUCGCUUUCUUUCACUUCGCCCCAGCUGAGAAACCCGGACGGGGGCCCGCGAACCGGCCCCUCUGCCCCUGCCGCCCGCCGACGCCCCAGACCCCUCCCAGCAAGACCACCAGACAG
Leishmania braziliensis MHOM/BR/75/M2904 is the source of this 808-nucleotide ribosomal RNA. NCBI's taxonomy places the organism in Eukaryota, Euglenozoa, Kinetoplastea, Trypanosomatida, Trypanosomatidae. The record is from RefSeq and is a predicted model, not a curated record.